UAGCUUUGAUGAAACUCCUUGUGUCCAGAGUCGGAGCUCUUGAGCACCUUCUAUGACGGUCACAAACCUCUAAGAAGUUCUGAGCUG
Molecule: small nucleolar RNA, 87 nt
Organism: Prunus persica (peach)
Lineage: Eukaryota; Viridiplantae; Streptophyta; Magnoliopsida; Rosales; Rosaceae
Rfam family: Small nucleolar RNA U61
Source: Rfam